This 341-nucleotide unclassified non-coding RNA is filed under the name soil metagenome. Its description in RNAcentral is "partial contains 5.8S ribosomal RNA, internal transcribed spacer 2, and large subunit ribosomal RNA". The stretch from base 1 to 120 matches the Rfam family "5.8S ribosomal RNA", at positions 35 to 154 of the family's 154-position model. The record is from RNAcentral.
GAUGAAGAACGCAGCGAAAUGCGAUAAGUAGUGUGAAUUGCAGAAUUCAGUGAAUCAUCGAAUCUUUGAACGCACAUUGCGCCCCUUGGUAUUCCAAAGGGCAUGCCUGUUCGAGCGUCAUUUGUACCCUCAAGCUUUGCUUGGUGUUGGGCGUCUUGUCUCUAGCUUUGCUGGAGACUCGCCUUAAAGUAAUUGGCAGCCGGCCUACUGGUUUCGGAGCGCAGCACAAGUCGCACUCUCUAUCAGCAAAGGUCUAGCAUCCAUUAAGCCUUUUUUUCAACUUUUGACCUCGGAUCAGGUAGGGAUACCCGCUGAACUUAAGCAUAUCAAUAAGCGGAGGA